Molecule: RNA transcript, 2279 nt
Organism: Vigna unguiculata (cowpea)
Lineage: Eukaryota; Viridiplantae; Streptophyta; Magnoliopsida; Fabales; Fabaceae
Gene: ATVPS33
Gene name: Sec1/munc18-like (SM) proteins superfamily
Source: RefSeq, a predicted model, not a curated record
CGCUCUUGUUUUUUUAAUCGAACACAUUUAUAUUCUUGUUUUCUUCAAUCCUAUUUCUUUCUUCUUCAGCCAAGAACCUGUUAGUUGCAACUAUGAUUCGCCUCUGAUCGAACUUUCUGCGAAGACCAAAACUGUGUAGUGGUGUUACCUCUUUUCGAUGGCUCAGAUUCCGAACCUAGAUAAUGCUCCCGUCAAUCUCACAUCCAUUAGGGAACAGUCCCAAAAAGAACUCCUCAACAUCCUCAAGAAUGUUCGAGGAAAGAAGUGUUUGGUCAUUGAUCCGAAGCUCGGAGACUCUCUCUCACUUAUUAUACAGACAUCCAUUCUCAAGGAGCAUGGAGUUGAAUUGCGACAUCUUUCUAGUGAUCCAAUUCAGACUGAUUGCAGCAAAGUAGUUUACCUUGUGCAUGCUCAGCCCAAGUUGAUGAAAUUCAUAUGUUCUAAUAUUCAUAAUGAUCUAUCAAAAGGACUGCAAAGAGAAUAUCAUGUUUAUUUUGUCCCCCGCCGCACUGUUGUUUGUGAGAAGGUUCUUGAGGAAGAGAAAUUACAUCAUAUGGUUUCAAUUGGGGAAUAUCCCUUGUAUAUUGUACCGAUGGAUGAAGAUGUGUUAUCAUUUGAACUUGAUCUUUCUUACAAAGAAUGCCAAGUUGAUGGUGAUACAGGAUCGCUUUGGCACAUUGCUAAAGCUAUUCACAAACUUGAGUUUUCUUUUGGAGUGAUACCAAAUGUGAGGGCAAAAGGAAAAGCAUCUGUGUGUGUUGCAGACAUCCUAAACCGAAUGCAAGCUGAGGAACCAGUUAACUCAUCUGAUAUUGUUGUGCCAGAGAUAAAUACACUAAUCCUUCUAGAUAGAGAGGUGGACAUGGUUACCCCUUUGUGUUCCCAAUUAACAUACGAGGGACUGCUUGAUGAGUUUCUGCACAUCAACAAUGGCUCUGUAGAGCUUGAUGCAUCUAUUAUGGGUCUUCAACAAGAAGGAAAAAAAACCAAAGUUCCCCUGAAUUCAAGUGACAAGCUUUUUAAGGAGAUUCGGGAUCUAAACUUUGAAGUUGUUGUCCAGAUUUUGCGUCAAAAAGCUACUUCCAUGAAGCAAGACUACACAGAAAUGACAACUACUACACAAACAGUUUCUGAGUUGAAGGACUUCGUGAAAAAGCUGAACUCAUUGCCGGAGAUGACUAGGCACAUAAAUCUUGCCCAGCAUCUAUCAACGUUCACGUCAAAGCCUUCAUUUCUUGGGCAACUUGAUAUGGAACAUACAAUCGUGGAGUCCCAGAGUUAUGACAUAUGCUUUGAUUAUAUUGAAGAACUGAUCCAUAAGCAGGAGCCUUUGACAACAGUCUUACGCCUUCUAAUACUAUUUUCUAUUACUAAUUCUGGGUUGCCAAAGAAGCACUUUGACUACUUCAGGAGAGAACUACUUCAUAGCUAUGGAUUUGAGCACGUAGCAAUGCUAAACAAUUUAGAGAAAGCUGGACUAUUUAAAAAGCAGGAGUCAAAAAGCAAUUGGGUCACUAUAAAACGUGCUUUGCAGCUUGUGGUUGAAGACACCGAUACAGCCAAGACAGCCCCAAUGAUAUUGCUUACGUCUUCUCUGGAUAUGCACCUCUCAGCAUUCGACUGGUCCAGCAUGCCAUUCGUUCUGGAUGGCGUCCUGUUGAAGAAAUUUUGAAGCUACUACCUGGACCACAUUUAGAAACAAAGAGGGGCGGAUUUUCAAAUAGUCCAUCAUUUGACACUUUAUCAGGGGUUUCAACCACCAGCUUGGCCAAGGUACCAGAUGGAAGGCGUGCCCUGGUGCUUGUUGUCUUUGUUGGGGGUGUUACCUUUGCAGAGAUUUCCGCACUCCGCUUUUUCAGCACUCAGGAGGGCAUGGCAUAUGAUUUGAUUAUUGCAACAACAAAAAUAGUCAAUGGCCAAAGCUUGAUUGAACCGUUUAUGGAAAAGCUAGGUUGAUUAAUGAGUGUAGUUUUGUCAGUUUAUCAUGCCGAUUAUAUUUGUUUGCGAUGUUGAGUUUAUAUCGAGGAUGUCACACCCAUUCUAUGACUAGGCUAGUUCGUUUUUGGACGAUGCCUUUGCUAUGUAAUCCUCUGUGUUGGUUUUCUAAGAGGGACUGUCUGGAAUUAAUAGUAUGAGCUUUAUUUUUCUCUGCUCUUUUUCAUUGUAUGCAACAGAUUCACCUACUUGUAUUAGCAAUGUGUUAUUCUUGAUUUUAGUUGAAUAUAUUAACUCACAGGGGAGUUCAUGAAUUAUAAUAGCCAGGAUUAUAUGGAUUUUAA